GGUGUUCAUGAGCAAGAAUGUGCAUUGUAAAACAGAGAACGAGACUACUAACAAUAAACCAGUGUCAGUCCUCAAGGAAGAAGUUGUCUCAAUUUAUAAUGAAAACUUCGCUGACAUUCCCAAGGACAGAGAGCCAUAUUAUGUUAAAGUUCAACGAUGUAUCAUCGAUAAAGAUAAAAUUCCUACAUGUUCAUAUUGUUGGCCCCAACCUAUGACAUUGACAGAAGUCGAGAUUGUCGUUCCUGAUUUAAAAAACUACACAAAGUUUUACAAAUAUGUUGUAUAUAAUCACACUUCUUGUUACCUGGAAAAGAACUUAAUAGCCCUGAAGUUUAAUCUACACAAGAAUCUAUCUUCAAACGAAAGUAAGGACUUCUGUAUUUAAUUGAAAUUUAAACUGAGAUCUAAAUUU
Long non-coding RNA from Xenia sp. Carnegie-2017, 412 nucleotides. RefSeq lists it as uncharacterized. The record is from RefSeq and is a predicted model, not a curated record. Lineage: Eukaryota; Metazoa; Cnidaria; Anthozoa; Malacalcyonacea; Xeniidae. The transcript is spliced from 2 exons.